RNAcentral lists this ribosomal RNA (438 nucleotides) under uncultured soil bacterium. RNAcentral's name for it is "bacterial SSU rRNA". It matches the Rfam family "Bacterial small subunit ribosomal RNA", at positions 26 to 514 of the family's 1533-position model. The record is from RNAcentral.
AGAACGAACGCUGGCGGCAUGCCUAACACAUGCAAGUCGAACGAAGCCUUCGGGCUUAGUGGCGCACGGGUGCGUAACGCGUGGGAACCUGCCUUUAGGUUCGGAAUAACUCCUCGAAAGGGGUGCUAAUACCGAAUAAUGUCUUCGGACCAAAGAUUUAUCGCCUUUAGAUGGGCCCGCGUUGGAUUAGCUAGUUGGUGGGGUAAAGGCCCACCAAGGCGACGAUCCAUAGCUGGUCUUAGAGGAUGAUCAGCCACACUGGGACUGAGACACGGCCCAGACUCCUACGGGAGGCAGCAGUGGGGAAUAUUGGACAAUGGGCGAAAGCCUGAUCCAGCAAUGCCGCGUGAGUGAUGAAGGCCUUAGGGUGUAAAGCUCUUUACCCGGAUGAUAAUGACAGUACCGGAGAAUAAGCUCCGGCUAACUCCGCGCCAGCAG